Molecule: unclassified non-coding RNA, 200 nt
Filed under: soil metagenome
Description: partial internal transcribed spacer 2
Source: RNAcentral
UUAAGUUUAGCGGGUAUCCCCACUUGAUCCGAGGCCAUGCGAGACGGUUACUGGCGGCUGCCGGUCCUUUAGACGCAGUGUGUUGCGGUUCAGGCAGACAGACGCCCAUGACUUAAAAAGUUCCUGGCGGAAAUCUCAACGCAAGGCAGAGCCUCAAACACAACCGGCGCUCGAACAAGUGUACUCCAAGGAAUGCCAAG